This 1148-nucleotide long non-coding RNA is filed under the name Medicago truncatula (barrel medic). RNAcentral's name for it is "long non-coding RNA (MTRU_LNC005309)". The record is from RNAcentral. Lineage: Eukaryota; Viridiplantae; Streptophyta; Magnoliopsida; Fabales; Fabaceae.
UAAGAGCUCAUGGCCAGAAUUGGUUGGAGUGGAAGGAAAGGUAGCAGAAGCUACAAUUGAGAGGGAGAAUCCAUUGGUGAAUGCCAUCAUUGUGCCAGAAGGAUCUGCUGUCAUCCUUGACUUUCGUUGUGAUAGGGUUUGGGUUUGGGUUGACAAAGAUGGAAUUGUCUUUAAGGUUCCAACAAUUGGAUAGAAAGUGUCAUGGAAUUGAACUUAUAUAUAUAUAUAUAUAUAUAUAUAUAUAUAUAUAUAUAUAUAUAUAUAUAUAUAUAUAUAUAUAUAUAUGCUCCAAGUCAUAAGUUUAAUGUUUCAAUAAGGAGCUAGUUUCUUUUUAAUUGUAUACUCAUAUAUACCCUCCUGUCAUUAUUAUAAGUAAAAAUUCACAUUUUAGGUACAUUCAAUAAAUUAUGAAUCAUACACUCUCUGGUCAUUAUUAUAAGAAAAAAUCUAAAUUUUAGGUUCAUUCAGUAAAUGAUGUAUGUGAUGUUUAAUAUAUGUCAUAUACAUUAUUUAUUGAAUGAAUCUCUAGUAUAGAUUUUUGUUUAUAAUAAUGACCAGAGAAGGGUGCAUGUAAUUUAAACAUACAUGUUAUGCGUUGCAAAUGCAUAUACAAAUAAUUUGUUUUUCAUUUUCUUUGUCAAGGAAAUAUAUGGUUCGGGCAUGCUCCAUUUAAGCUAAGCUCCAUUUACUCCAUUUAAGGUUUGGAUGUAAGGCAUGUGGCAAAAAAAAGUAUCUAAUGGUUAAGAUUUUAAACUAAAAAACAAUAAAAAGUUGUUGCGAUAUGAGAGAAGAAGGGAACAUGAUUUGUUUGUUAUUAUUAUGUAUUUUUAUUAAACAAAUAUUUAUUUUUUAAUUUAAAAUCUUAACCGUUAAUUUUUUUUUGCCACAUGUCUUACAUCUAAACCUUAAAUAAAGUAAAUUGAGCUUAGCCUAAAUGUAGCAUAUCCGAACUUAAAAUAUAUAUGAUACUAUACAAAUAUUGUCCUAUAAUAUCAUUUCAUAUGUUUUUGUUCUUGGUCCAUGUAUUUUUUAAAAAUAAAAAAUGAAGUUUCGGUUCCCAAUUAAAAAAUAUAUAUAUUUGGUUCUCCAAUUUUACAUUUUCCUGAAUUUCCCACCCUCAUCCAAUUUUAGGGUAAUUUUUGUUGACG